Myotis davidii is the source of this 126-nucleotide long non-coding RNA. RefSeq lists it as uncharacterized. The transcript is spliced from 4 exons. NCBI's taxonomy places the organism in Eukaryota, Metazoa, Chordata, Mammalia, Chiroptera, Vespertilionidae. The record is from RefSeq and is a predicted model, not a curated record.
AAGCAUGAAAUCUAGUCUAAAUAUGCUUUCUAAAAUCAGUAUGACCACAAUCAAUGGGGUAUUCACAUUACAAUCAAUAAGGUAUUCAAUUGAAUGGGAUGAUUUAUAUAAUUCAGAAAAUCAAAA